CGGACGGGUGAGUAACGCGUGAGCAACCUGCCCUUCGGAGGGGGAUAGUGUCUGGAAACGGACAGUAAUACCGCAUAACGUAUUGAUACCGCAUGAUAUUGAUACCAGAACUGAGGUGCCGAAGGAUGGGCUCGCGUUGGAUUAGAUAGUUGGUGGGGUAACGGCCUACCAAGUCGACGAUCCAUAGCCGGACUGAGAGGUUGAACGGCCACAUUGGGACUGAGACACGGCCCAGACUCCUACGGAAGGCAGCAG
Molecule: ribosomal RNA, 255 nt
Filed under: uncultured bacterium
Lineage: Bacteria
Description: partial 16S ribosomal RNA
Rfam family: Bacterial small subunit ribosomal RNA
Source: RNAcentral